CCUAUCCCUAAACCCUCCCUCUUUUGUCUUUUCUCUCAUACUCGUUCCUCACAAACUCAUACUCUUUCCUCUCUUCCUCCUUUGACUGUCACCAAACCCCAUAACACAAGCUUCCUCAUCUCUUCUUCUCUUCUGCAUCCAUUUUAAUUUCAAUUUCUCUCGUCUGUGUAAGUGUAGCUGCUCAUUUCCAACCAAUUUUACCUUGAUCUUUGAAGAUGGAUCGAAAAGAAAGAAUCCGGAUUUGCUUCUUCUCGAAGCCUUCUUCCUAUUCAAGCUCAUUGGAAACGUCGACAGUCAUCGUCUGCCUAGUUUAUUUCUCAUUGUUCUAGAUUCAGUUUGGUUUUACAUUUUUUUUUUGUACUUAUGCAAAAAUGUAAUUUAUUUGUAUCUAUUUUACAUAUAUUUUUCUCUCAUUCAAAAUCGAAUAGUGGUUUGUAAUACAUUUUUGAUAGUAACACUAAUAAAUUAUGUGCAGAAUCAAACAUAAGUGUUAUUGACAUUGUUAAACUAAUAAAUUCUAUAUAAAUUUGUAA
Long non-coding RNA from Beta vulgaris subsp. vulgaris (sugar beet), 533 nucleotides. RefSeq lists it as uncharacterized. NCBI's taxonomy places the organism in Eukaryota, Viridiplantae, Streptophyta, Magnoliopsida, Caryophyllales, Amaranthaceae. The transcript has 3 exons. The record is from RefSeq and is a predicted model, not a curated record.